AGAAUCAACGCUGGCGGCGUGCCUAACACAUGCAAGUCGAACGAGAAAGUGGAGCAAUCCAUGAGUAAAGUGGCGCACGGGUGAGUAACACGUGACUAACCUACCCUUGAGUGGGGGAUAACCUAGGGAAACCUGGGCUAAUACCGCAUAAUACCUUCGGGUCAAAAGGAGCAAUUCGCUUAAGGAGGGGGUCGCGGCCGAUUAGUUAGUUGGCGGGGUAAUGGCCCACCAAGACUGUGAUCGGUAU
RNAcentral lists this ribosomal RNA (247 nucleotides) under uncultured bacterium. RNAcentral describes it as "partial small subunit ribosomal RNA". It matches the Rfam family "Bacterial small subunit ribosomal RNA", at positions 26 to 286 of the family's 1533-position model. The record is from RNAcentral.